CCCACUCACCCACCCACUUACACCCCCGCACUUUCACGCACGCCACACAUAGAACCAGCGUCGUCACCACUAGUACGCGCCAACGUCGACCGUAUCGCCCGUACUACUACCACUACUACUGCCACCACUUCCACCAAUCCAGUGACCAACGCUAAUUGCAGUCAGCUCAUCGUUUUCCGUAAGCAUAGGAUAGUCGGUGUUGAAAGAAAGGAGCACAGGCGACCCGAAAAAGCAGGACGAACCGAAGGAGCGGAGAAAGAUAAAGAUAAAGGAACGGAAAGGUCGGAGAAACAGGGACGGAGAUAGAAGGAAGAAUAUCGCAGGAGGAAAAAGAGGAAAAGGAGGAAAAGGGGGCCAAUUACGCGAGGCUAGAGAAUAGAAGACGGAAGAGAGAAGAGAGUAGUCGAGCUUGGAAGCAUAGCUUAGCGUGGACCGACACGGCAUAUCCAUAGACAUAUACACUGUGUCUAUGGGCAUAUCGACGAGAUCCGAGAGCGGCCGAGCACGACCGAGCCGGGCCGACUCGGACCCUGCGCGCUCAACCCAAACCGGAGGAAGCAUAGUUGCAUUUAAACUGCCAUCCCACUGAGGUCUCUCUUCCGUAGUGUUGGAGUAGUCUGCGCUGGCUGGGCCAGCCGCACUCGACGAGUACGUGUCGCGUACCUUGCACCGUUCACCCGCACUCUCUUGCACCAUAUAACCGGACACUCUCUCGCGUGUGACACUUGCUUCUGUCUGUCGCGCUCACCCUCUCGUACGCUUCUCGUCUCGCCUCGUCUCGCCUCGCCUCCUCUCCGCUUUGUUUCGGGGAAAACGUGCGUCGGCUGGAUUCUCAACUUGCAAGAAAGAAAAAGGGUUUUCGUACGAGGAACGGACCCGAGCGUUUUCACGCCGAGUUCCUUCUCUAUCAAGACUCUUGUGCAUCCUGCUGAUUCAAGAACGAAAAACUUGGGAAUCGAGAAAGGAGAAGAAAGAAAAAAGGAAAGGGGGACGGCGGUAUCGGUCGUCGAGUAUCGAGAUCGAAAUGUUUCCGGAAUAAUAGCGUUCAGUCGCAAUUUUCACCUAUUCGACUAGAUGGCCAGAAUCUCGUGGAAAUCCAAUCGAUCCUACGGUGUCUGGAAUAAUCUUCUUUGUCCUGUUCGUGUCCGAGGAAACUCCAAGUUGAUUCAGUUGAGUGGACUAGCCGGGACUGUCAAAGUUGCGCCUCGGAGUCAGCUGCUUCCGUUACGUCGAGCCGCAGACCCGUGUCUAUAGGAUGUCCUCGAAACGCGCAUCGAGGCUUCGUUUAUCUUUCGAGUGAUUUCGACCGAUCUUCGAUGAAAAAGAAAGAGACGAUGUACUUCUCGGGCAUCGAACAAAUAAAUACGAAUGGGCAGAUUUCGGAAAACGAUCGGGAAAGUAGACGUUGCCGUUUCACAUUUUCGUGUUCCCUUUGUCCAACUCGGUAGUAACUUGUUAGCCGGGCGCCUUGCAAUUUUAAACUCCGCCGCUCGUCGAAGAGAGAGCCUGCUCGUUUUUCCUCCGUGAAUCCCGACAGCUUUUCGCGUUCCCACCCGAUCAGCGAGAAUAACUUGUUGACUUUUCUCUCGUGAGAGCAAUCGCGACUUUUUCACCUGUAUCGCACCAGUCGAAUUAAAAUUUCUACAACGAUCUUUAUUCGCUAUAAUAUUUUCCAAGAACUCGCGGUGAAUCUGUUUCGAUGCAAGCCAUCGUGUUCUUUAUUUUCGCAAAGAUUCUUCGAUUUGCUCGCAACGCUGUAUGCAUGUUACGCGGGGCCACGUCGAUCAAUAAAACACGGCUAUUUCGAUCCGUGAAUUACGUAAUUUCCCGAAUUUCCCUAGCCGAUCCUCGCUGCUCUUUUUUGUCAUUGUGCUAACGAAUUUUUCAUAUUUCUAACGAACAGAAAGCAAACGAGACGCAAAUAACAUCGGAAUUUACCGUAGCCGCCUUCACCGCUGUGCUAUUCUUCUCGUUCAAUUUCAUCACCGGUUUCUUUCUCGCAAUUUUCGCAAGAGAACGCACAGAGAACCCAUUAUGCCACUACGGUAGUCGUCGACUUGAAAUUAUCGAUUCCAUCGAAAACGUUUCUUUCGCUUGUACUUUUCGCUCGCCACCUCGCUCACCAAGAACGCUUUAUCAGUUAAUUAGCCGAGUUAAUCAAUGUCGUUUCAAAAACAGAGGGGCAACGAAUUUUUCGGGAAUCUGUUUCGAGAUUUAUCGUGAUUUUCGAUGUUCUUGUGAUUUUUCGUCGAACGCGUUCGACCGAUAUUUUCCAACGCUCCGACGUUGGUAAUUGGACGUGGAAAUCACGUAUGACGUAAGAUUUCAUCGAGUAUUCAUCGGUGUGGAACGAACAGGAAGAUUCGAGGCGAGAAUUUCUUACGAGCUUGGUUUUACAAUGCAUUUUUCUCGUUCUCCACGACGAUUGGUCCAUACGGAAGGUAUCGAAACGCUGUUGCUACGUGCUCCGAUGGGGGCCACCUUUAAAGCCGAUAUCGCGGAACGAAGUACAUACUUACUUGCUAUGACCAGGCGAAAUGCUUAAAAGUCCGAGACCGAUGAUCUCGAUAAUCUUCUACGAUUUCCGUGCAAGCUCCAACAUUCUCGAUCGAAAGAGACUCUUCGUUCCACUUUUGACCUUUCCCAGCCCAUCGAUCGGUCUCUGCGAUUUCAAGACCUAACCUGCUCUUUCCUGCAAACCAUUCUUCGCUUCUCCAUUCGUAUUUUAAUGAAUUCUAAUCGUGUUUCGCCGAAAUGACGACCUUCGUCGAGAAGACGAUUUCCUUCGACCGAUGAAACGGACGGAAACGUUAAUCGCCAACAGAUUGGAAAAUAUUCGAAAAUCGAGAGAGCUGACGCGACGACCAUAGCCCCCAAAGUGUCGUGUAUCGUGCGAGGCUCGUUUCAGAAUGAUUCCUUUGCUUCCGUUCCAUUCGCACUCGUAAGCGCGAAUUAUCGGCACGAGGCCAAACUCGCGCCCCUUUUUCGCGCCUCUGACAUUUAGUACGACGCUGUGCCAGCUUUGCCAGUCUCUUUACGUUUCUCGAAAUCGUCGCCUCUCGAAAUUAAUACAUCGUCGGAAAUCGGUUCGAUAUCGAUGUCGAAGAGAACAUAAACGAAUAAGGAACCGCGCGGAUUAAAGCGAAUAGUUUCAAAGAAAGAUGAAUCGAUGUGCGGCGUUGGAGUUAAAAGCGACAUCGUUCGGUGGAUGGCGCGCCGACAAAUUGUAAUUCCGAUUCGCAGCUUCUGCAGUUGUCGGUUGAUACCCGGUUCCGUGUCGCGGGCUCGUUACGAGCGACCAAAAGGUAAUUUCUUACUCGGCGUAAUAACACGUUCCUGUGUACACACAUCGUCGGCCACUUUUCCGCAACUAUUAGCCCAAUUAGCUCGGACCAGCUUCACCGUCAACUGUUGCACGCGAGUUCUAACAACGAAUCGACGGAAUUGGACGCGGCAACUGCCUAUCGAUCAAUUAGCCAUUCCGUCGCAACUUUGCCCUUCCGUUUUUGAAAAUGUCAUUAAUCGGGAACGGAUAAUUUUUCGAUGGUUCGCAGCAAUUUCUAACUUGGAUUUUCUGGCCCGGAGACGCGCUUAAUCGUCGCGUCUGUUCCACGUUGGCGAGCUUUUAUCGAUCAAAAACGAUCUCGCCUGCGAUUCGUCGUUUAGAAAUUUCCAAGUACUUGUACAAACGUCCCUCGGGUUUUAUAUUUACAUUCUUCGUUUCCAUUGUCUUGACAUAUUUCGUAGCUUUAGCAGGAUAUUUUGGUGCGAAACUGCUCGUUCUAAGAGACUUCUUUCAAGAGAAAGCAAGAAGUUAAUUAGUUCGUGAUAAUUAAAAAAACUCGUUUCUUCCUUAAUGUUGGCUGUGGCUUGCCGAUUUCUAAAUAGUCAGUAGCUAAUUUCUAAUCUCUUAACUUCAGGUUCCUUAGAUGCGAAAUAAUUCGUUUCGUGAAACGAAAAUAUUUUUUACUUCGUAUCGUUUCGAACUUGUCGAUUCGCUAGCCUAAUUCUUUAUUUUCCAUCGAUUAAAUCGAAGAAUAAUAAAAAACAUUUGCCUCCGUCAAUUAAAACAGGUAUUCAUCUAAAUUCAUUCUCCCCCGACGCUUUAUCCAAUUUUAACUUCGAUCCUUUUAACUCCGACAAUAUCGAAAAACGAUUAAAAUCUUUCGAUGAAAAUCUUUCCAAAGCGAAGCUCUUCUUUCGUUUCCUUUUUUUCUUUUUUUUUUCUUUUUUUUUUUCUUGUUCGAAAAUGGUCUCUCGAUACUCGGCGCAGGCCGAGAGAAUUCGUCUGCCCUGUGAGAAAAUGAAUAGAAUCGAUCGAUCCGAGAAAGGGAGUAGUAAAUUCACGCGAGUGAUCGGGAAGGAUUGAUGAGAACGGUUCUUUCCAAGAGCGAGGAACAGACGACGAGCAUCGUUUUUCACGUUGGACGAAAUCGGAGACCUGCCGUUGCUUCGCAAACGCCGUGAACCUUGGCAGUGAUCACCCCUUGAUCAAUUAUCCAUCAUUCGGCGAAGGACCAAAAUUCGCGCCACAAUCCGUGCAGUUGGCGAUCGAACGUCUAUAGUAACACUUCCCAAAGCGAAAUUAUAUUUCGCGACAAGGGUGUUAAUGAACGAGCUCGGGCUUCAAGCUUAAAAUAUUCGAGCGAUCUAAGGUUCUCCAGAAGUCUGUUCUCAAAGUACAAAUCGGAAAAAUUGGAAGUCGAAAACCGUAUACUUCGAGAUUUUGCCGAACCACGAACAAUGGAGAUUCGAGUGUCGUCUCUCGAGGCAAAGGGAGAAAGAGCGAAUAGUAGGAUGAAACAUGGGUACGGUCUUGAUUCCUUGGCUGCCACUGCUGAGUGCGGAGCUUCGCACAGUUCUCUCCGCGCUCUUCACUUCUUUCUUUCCCUUCGAUUCUCUCCUUCACUAUCCGACAGCCUAUUUUUCCGCAAUUUCUGAUGGCUCUCGAGGUCCCUGUCUUACCGGUAACUCAUUCCCUCGGAUCUACUACACUCUCGAUGAAGAAUCUCUGCGCCUCUAUUUUCCAGUGUCCUCGUGGCGGCGCUAUUGCGUAAAAUCGGAGAAGAGGUAGCGAGUUCCUCGCCCGGAGCAACGUGACAACGGAAAGAAGAAACACUCGAGCAUGUCCCAGCAGUGUAAAAUUCGAACGUUACGGUCGGGCCUGACUCUUUGCUCUGCCCGUACAUUUCCUUCUGGGUGAGCAAAGUUUCAGGUGUGUCCGUGACAGUCUAUCGUCGCAGCGUGUCAUUUCUUCCUUCGGCCUAUGGAUCCAUCAUAGUCGACGAAUAACGAACAAUAACAAUCUCCAGUUGAGCCUUGGCAUUGAAAAACUGCCAUCGACUGGAAAACGUCCAAACUAUACUAAAGUCCACCGUAUCUAGUGAUAAAUCGAGUCGUAAAGUUCGUUGUAUAACGAGAAGAAUAUUUCUUGUAUUGGCUCGCGAAGCGAUAUACAAAUAUGUACAGGAACGAAGAAUCCAUUCGUGUUUUUUUAACAAAAGCUAUACCGUUUUCAUAUGCAAAAAAAAAAAGAUCUGUGAUCAACGAGUUACGUUUCAUAUGUUUAUUAUAAAUAUUACACGCGAGAGACGCGAAUCGGUUUUUAAGAUUAAAAGAGUUUGAAACGGCGAAAUUUUUGAAAGCAAUACUAUAUCGGAAUGGACCGUUUUCAAAGUAUCGCCAGAAAUUCGAUAAAGCGUAUGAAAGCUAACGUUUCCUUGAAAAUAGUUGAUUUACGAGGGUAGGCAGGGCGAAGUACGCGAUAAAUAUCUAGGUGGAAAUCAAGCAUCCUCGACAGUACUCUUACGCCUGAAAUUUGCUUUUUACCUGGCCCUCGUGCUCUCUUACUUUGAGAAAAUAAAGGUGAGCAAAGUUUCAGGUGUGUGAGUGCGUUGGAAUCAACAAGUAAACUCGAAUGGUAAGACCUUAGAAUAAAAUUCGGAAUUGCGCUGCUUCGAUGGAUCUCUUGUAGACAAAAGUUGUAAUCGUAUCAAAAGGAGAAAUUAUAUUCGCCUAAUUUUCAUUACAUCGGAAACACGAUUAAAGAAAUUAUUAUAUAUGUAUAUUAUAUUUGCGAAUCAUUCACGUACAUGUUGUGAUUCAAAUAAAAUAUCAAUGCGCUUAACCUCUAAUUGAAAAGAACUAGAAAUUUUUCCUAAUCACAAAUUUAUUUCUUUUGAAAAUUUGAGAAUUUCAAUGCUACGAUAAACGACUCUAGGAAGAAAGCUAACCUUGCGGGAUAAAAAGCUUCAUCAAUGUCGCAAACGAUACGUCUAAGAGCGAGUCUAAAAUUAGCAAUGAAAUUAGGCAGGCCUUGGAAAGACUAAUAAAUCAACUGAAGCGUUACGAUCUGGUUUCCGUCACUGUCAGGCUUCCUCCUAUAUAUGUAAAUCAAUAACCAACUGGUUUAAAGCCGAUGUGGUUGAGAGAAUCCAAUUUUACACAUUUAAACUUUUAUAUUUAAAAUUAUAUUCCAUCACGUGUAAAUAACGAGUCUUUAAUUCGUUCAUUCUUGUAUGUGAAAUCAAGCAGAUAUUGUACGAUAAAAAGUAACUGAAAGAACUAUUAAAAAAUUAAGAGAACAA
Long non-coding RNA from Bombus impatiens (common eastern bumble bee), 6587 nucleotides. RefSeq lists it as uncharacterized. The transcript is spliced from 4 exons. NCBI's taxonomy places the organism in Eukaryota, Metazoa, Arthropoda, Insecta, Hymenoptera, Apidae. The record is from RefSeq and is a predicted model, not a curated record.